This 303-nucleotide ribosomal RNA is filed under the name uncultured bacterium. Its description in RNAcentral is "partial 16S ribosomal RNA". It matches the Rfam family "Bacterial small subunit ribosomal RNA", at positions 507 to 808 of the family's 1533-position model. The record is from RNAcentral.
AGCAGUCGCCGCGGGAAUACGUAGGUCCCGAGCGUUGUCCGGAUUUAUUGGGCGUAAAGGGAGCGCAGGCGGUUUAGUAAGUCUGAAGUUAAAGGCAUUGGCUCAACCAAUGUAUGCUUUGGAAACUGUUAGACUUGAGUGCAGAAGGGGAGAGUGGAAUUCCAUGUGUAGCGGUGAAAUGCGUAGAUAUACGGAGGAACACCGGUGGCGAAAGCGGCUCUCUGGUCUGUCACUGACGCUGAGGCUCGAAAGCGUGGGUAGCGAACAGGAUUAGAUACCCCAGUAGUCCCUGUCUCUUAUACA